Molecule: ribosomal RNA, 496 nt
Filed under: uncultured bacterium
Lineage: Bacteria
Description: partial 16S ribosomal RNA
Rfam family: Bacterial small subunit ribosomal RNA
Source: RNAcentral
GAUGAACGCUGGCGGCGUGCCUAAUACAUGCAAGUCGAGCGGACGUACGGGAAGGUUGCUGCACGGGUGUUAGCGGCGUACGGGUCAUGAACACGUGGUUAACCUACCUAUAGGACUGGAAUAACUUCACGAAACCUUAUCUAAUUCCGGCUGAUUUUUUGAACGACAGGUUUAAAAAGUGUGAGACGGUCUUGCGUUCACUUAGAUAUUUGUCGGCGCUACAUUAGCUAGUUGGUAAGAUAACUGCUUACCAAGGGAACGAUGCAUAGCCGAACUGAGAGGGUGAUCGGCCACACUGGAACUGAGACACGGUCCAGACUACUAAGGGAGGCAGCAGUAGGGAACCUUCCGCAAUGGGCGAAAGCAUGACGGAGCAACGCCGCGUGAGUGAUGAAGGUCUUCGGAUCGUAAAACUCUGUUAUUAGGGAAGAACAUAUGUGUAAGUAACUGUGAAAAUAUUGACGGUACAUCAGCAGAAAGCCACGGCUAACUCCGU